AGUCGCCGCGGGAAUACAGAGGGUGCGAGCGUUAAUCGGAUUUACUGGGCGUAAAGCGUGCGUAGGCGGCUUUUUAAGUCGGAUGUGAAAUCCCUGAGCUUAACUUAGGAAUUGCAUUCGAUACUGGGAAGCUAGAGUAUGGGAGAGGAUGGUAGAAUUCCAGGUGUAGCGGUGAAAUGCGUAGAGAUCUGGAGGAAUACCGAUGGCGAAGGCAGCCAUCUGGCCUAAUACUGACGCUGAGGUACGAAAGCAUGGGGAGCAAACAGGAUUAGAUACCCGGGUAGUCCCUGUCUCUUAUACA
Molecule: ribosomal RNA, 301 nt
Filed under: uncultured bacterium
Lineage: Bacteria
Description: partial 16S ribosomal RNA
Rfam family: Bacterial small subunit ribosomal RNA
Source: RNAcentral